RNAcentral lists this long non-coding RNA (1246 nucleotides) under Dicentrarchus labrax (European seabass). Its description in RNAcentral is "lncRNA (ENSDLAG00005024331.2)". Lineage: Eukaryota; Metazoa; Chordata; Actinopteri; Moronidae. The record is from RNAcentral.
GUGACUGGAAGUAAUUUGUCUUUUCAUCUGACAGAUGAUUAUUAAUAUGACACCCUUUCAUUAAUUAUUAUGGCAGCUUAUUUGCCAAUAAAUUAUUGUUCUCCACUGGAGUCAACACUGCGAGUGGCAGUGACAGUUGAUCUGGUGUUGGCACCAGUAGAAAGGGGAGUGCCCACAGGGAAUUAACAGCUCUAGGAAAUUAAAUUGCCUGUUGUUUGGAUGUGCGACGAGGACUGCAGAGGAUUCUUUUAAGGAUCUGAGAUUCACAUAGGAGAGGGUCUUCAGGAGGAGACACCACACCAAGCCCCGCCAUGUUCAGCAGGUUUAAGCAGUUGAUGGGGGCUCCCAAGCCUCCCCCUGCUCAAGCCGCUACCCCACCUUCUACCCCAGCUCCACCCGCUAAGGAAGAGAAGCCCCCUGAAAAGAAGGAUGAAAAAGAGCAGCCAAAAAAAGAGGGUGAAAAGGAAGAAGAGGAAAAGAAAGAUGAUGAAAAGAAAGAGGAGGACAAAAAAGAGGAAAAGAAAGAAGAAGUGAAGAAAGAAGAAGAGCCCAAGAAGGAAGAGCCAGGUGAGAAGUAUUUAUUUGAUCUGGAUUAUUAUUCGGAUGCACGUCAGCAUGCCUAUUAGUGAUGUGACAUUUUCAGAAAUCAAAAGCCUUGCACCUUGACUGACAUGUACUUUCUUCCACGCACCUGUGCAGUGUAGUUUCAUACUGUUACAUACUCUUUCUCCUUUUGUCUGACAGUUUUGUCUGUCUGUUUUGAGCUUAUAUGGCUUCAAGCAGAUCACUUGGCAAAUUAUGUUAUCUGGCAGAGGGCAAUGAAGACGUUAAAGGACCAGUGUGUAGGAUUUAGUGGCAUCUAGUGGUGAAGUUGCAAAUUGUAACUAACUGAACACUGCUCCCGUCUGUAUUUGACAACUUGGGAAUGGGAACCUGAAGUGUGUAAACUACAGUGGAACUCACAACAAAUGCAAAAGGAGCUAUCUAUAGCCAGUGUUUGGUUUGUCUCUUCUGGUCUGCUGUAGAAACAUGGCGUGGCACGUUUAGUGUUUGUGUUCAGUUGUUAGAAACUGAGUGCUGCUUGAUUAUUCUUCCAGCUCCUGCCCCAGCUCCAGCUCCUGCCCCAGCUCCUGCCCCAGCUCCAGCUCCUGCUGCUGCUCCUGCUGCUGCUCCUGCUCCUGCUGCUCCUGAAAAUCCAGAGGGUGCUGAUGGGUAAGAAUGCAUCAUAUACUGUGUGUACCUCACA